This 456-nucleotide ribosomal RNA is filed under the name uncultured Methylomirabilota bacterium. RNAcentral's name for it is "bacterial SSU rRNA". It matches the Rfam family "Bacterial small subunit ribosomal RNA", at positions 977 to 1435 of the family's 1533-position model. Lineage: Bacteria; Methylomirabilota (SeqCode). The record is from RNAcentral.
GGGCUUGACAUCCCACGAACCUGAAAGGGAAGGGAGCCCGCAAGGGAAGCCGGCACAGGUGGUGCAUGGCUGUCGUCAGCUCGUGUCGUGAGAUGUUGGGUUAAGUCCCGCAACGAGCGCAACCCUCACCCCUUGUUGCCACCGGGUAAUGCCGAGCACUCGAGGGGAACUGCCAGCGUCAAGCUGGAGGAAGGCGGGGAUGACGUCAAGUCAUCAUGCCCCUUACGCCCUGGGCUACACACGUGCUACAAUGGCCAGUACAAAGGGAUGCGAGACCGUAAGGUGGAGCUAAUCCCAAAAAGCUGGUCUAAGUUCAGAUUGCAGUCUGCAACUCGACUGUAUGAAGGAGGAAUCGCUAGUAAUCGCGCAUCAGCACGGCGCGGUGAAUACGUUCCCGGGCCUUGUACACACCGCCCGUCACACCACGAAAGCUGGCUGUACUCGAAGUCGCUGAGA